This 182-nucleotide ribosomal RNA is filed under the name uncultured Planctomycetales bacterium. RNAcentral describes it as "partial 16S ribosomal RNA". It matches the Rfam family "Bacterial small subunit ribosomal RNA", at positions 337 to 525 of the family's 1533-position model. The record is from RNAcentral. Lineage: Bacteria; Pseudomonadati; Planctomycetota; Planctomycetia; Planctomycetales.
UCCUACGGGAGGCAGCAGUCGAGGAUCUUCGGCAAUGGGCGCAAGCCUGACCGAGCGACGCCGCGUGUGCGAUGAAGGCCUUCGGGUUGUAAAGCACUGUCGAGGGGGAGGAACGCCCGCAAGGGCCUGACCUAUCCCUGGAGGAAGCACGGGCUAAGUUCGUGCCAGCAGCCGCGGUACAU